UUAACACAUGCAAGUCGAACGGACCCUUUCGGGGGUUAGUGGCGGACGGGUGAGUAACACGUGAGAAUCUGCCCAUAGGACGGGGACAACAGUGGGAAACUGCUGCUAAUACCGGAUGAGCCGAGAGGUAAAACAUUUAUGGCCUAUGGAGGAGCUCGCGACUGAUUAGCUAGUUGGUGGGGUAAAGGCCUACCAAGGCGACGAUCAGUAGCUGGUCUGAGAGGAUGAUCAGCAACACUGGGACUGAGACACGGCCCAGACUCCUACGGGAGGCAGCAGUGGGGAAUCUUGGACAAUGGGGGCAACCCUGAUCCAGCCAUGCCGCGUGAGUGAUGAAGGCCUUAGGGUCGUAAAGCUCUUUCGCCUGUGAAGAUAAUGACGGUAGCAGGUAAAGAAACCCCGGCUAACUCCGUGCCAGCAGCCGCGGUAAUACGGAGGGGGUUAGCGUUGUUCGGAAUUACUGGGCGUAAAGCGCACGUAGGCGGACCAGAAAGUUGGGGGUGAAAUCCCGGGGCUCAACCCCGGAACUGCCUCCAAAACUAUUGGUCUAGAGUUCGAGAGAGGUGAGUGGAAUUCCAAGUGUAGAGGUGAAAUUCGUAG
This 600-nucleotide ribosomal RNA is filed under the name uncultured bacterium. Its description in RNAcentral is "bacterial SSU rRNA". It matches the Rfam family "Bacterial small subunit ribosomal RNA", at positions 48 to 693 of the family's 1533-position model. The record is from RNAcentral.